This 497-nucleotide ribosomal RNA is filed under the name uncultured bacterium. Its description in RNAcentral is "partial 16S ribosomal RNA". It matches the Rfam family "Bacterial small subunit ribosomal RNA", at positions 28 to 507 of the family's 1533-position model. The record is from RNAcentral.
GUUGAACGCUGGCGGCGUGCCUAAUACAUGCAAGUCGAGCGAACAGACGAGGAGCUUGCUCCUCUGACGUUAGCGGCGGACGGGUGAGUAACACGUGGAUAACUUACCUAUAAGACUGGGAUAACUUCGGGAAACCGGAGCUAAUACCGGACAAUAUAUUGAACCGCAUGGUUCAAUAGUGAAAGACGGUUUUGCUGUCACUUAUAGAUGGAUCCGCGCCGCAUUAGCUAGUUGGUAAGGUAACGGCUUACCAAGGCAACGAUGCGUAGCUGACCUGAGAGGGUGAUCGGUCACACUGGAACUGAGACACGGUCCAGACUCCUACGGGAGGCAGCAGUAGGGAAUCUUCCGCAAUGGGCGAAAGCUUGACGGAGCAACGCCGCGUGAGUGAUGAAGGUCUUCGGAUCGUAAAACUCUGUUAUUAGGGAAGAACAAAUGUGUAAGUAACUAUGCACGUCUUGACGGUACCUAAUCAGAAAGCCACGGCUAACUACGUG